AUUGAACGCUGGCGGCAGGCCUAACACAUGCAAGUCGAGCGGAUGAAGGGAGCUUGCCCCUGGAUUCAGCGGCGGACGGGUGAGUAAUGCCUAGGAAUCUGCCUGGUAGUGGGGGAUAACGUCCGGAAACGGGCGCUAAUACCGCCUACGUCCUGAGGGAGCAAGUUGGGGAUCUUCGGACCCCACGCUAUCAGAUGAGCCUAGGUCGGAUUAGCUAGUUGGUGGGGUAAAGGCCUACCAAGGCGACGAUCCGUAACUGGUCUGAGAGGAUGAUCAGUCACACUGGAGCUGAGACACGGUCCAGACUCCUACGGGAGGCAGCAGUGGGGAAUAUUGGACAAUGGGCGAAGUCCGGAUCCAGCCAUGCAGCGUGUGUGAAGAAGGUCUUCGGAUUGUAAAGCACUGUAAGUUGGGAGGAAGGGCAGUAAGUUAAUACCUUGCUGUUUUGACGUUACCAACAGAAUAAGCACCGGCUAACUUCGUG
This 484-nucleotide ribosomal RNA is filed under the name uncultured bacterium. RNAcentral describes it as "partial 16S ribosomal RNA". It matches the Rfam family "Bacterial small subunit ribosomal RNA", at positions 30 to 507 of the family's 1533-position model. The record is from RNAcentral.